This 466-nucleotide ribosomal RNA is filed under the name uncultured bacterium. RNAcentral describes it as "partial 16S ribosomal RNA". It matches the Rfam family "Bacterial small subunit ribosomal RNA", at positions 28 to 505 of the family's 1533-position model. The record is from RNAcentral.
GACGAACGCUGGCGGCGUGCUUAACACAUGCAAGUCGAACGGAAAGGCCCUGCUUUUGUGGGGUGCUCGAGUGGCGAACGGGUGAGUAACACGUGAGUAACCUGCCCUUGACUUUGGGAUAACUUCAGGAAACUGGGGCUAAUACCGGAUAGGAGCUCCUGCUGCAUGGUGGGGGUUGGAAAGUUUCGGCGGUUGGGGAUGGACUCGCGGCUUAUCAGCUUGUUGGUGGGGUAGUGGCUUACCAAGGCUUUGACGGGUAGCCGGCCUGAGAGGGUGACCGGCCACAUGGGGACUGAGAUACGGCCCAGACUCCUACGGGAGGCAGCAGUGGGGAAUAUUGCACAAUGGGCGGAAGCCUGAUGCAGCAACGCCGCGUGCGGGAUGACGGCCUUCGGGUUGUAAACCGCUUUCGCCUGUGACGAAGCGUGAGUGACGGUAAUGGGUAAAGAAGCACCGGCUAACUACG